This 86-nucleotide transfer RNA is filed under the name Trametes cingulata. RNAcentral's name for it is "tRNA-Pro". It matches the Rfam family "tRNA". From Rfam's summary of the family: Transfer RNA (tRNA) molecules are approximately 80 nucleotides in length. Their secondary structure includes four short double-helical elements and three loops (D, anti-codon, and T loops). The record is from RNAcentral. Lineage: Eukaryota; Fungi; Basidiomycota; Agaricomycetes; Polyporales; Polyporaceae.
GGCCCAAUGGUCUAGAGGUAAGAUACUUGCUUUGGGCGCUCGGCUCCGAUUGCAAGGGAUCCCGGGUUCGAAUCCCGGUUGGGCCC